AGACCCGAAACCCGGUGAUCUAGCCAUGGGCAGGUUGAAGGUUGGGUAACACUAACUGGAGGACCGAACCGACUAAUGUUGAAAAAUUAGCGGAUGACCUGUGGCUGGGGGUGAAAGGCCAAUCAAACCGGGAGAUAGCUGGUUCUCCCCGAAAGCUAUUUAGGUAGCGCCUCGUGAAUUCAUCUCCGGGGGUAGAGCACUGUUUCGGCUAGGGGGCCAUCCCGGCUUACCAACCCGAUGCAAACUGCGAAUACCGGAGAAUGUUAUCACGGGAGACACACGGCGGGUGCUAACGUCCGUCGUGAAGAGGGAAACAACCCAGACCGCCAGCUAAGGUCCCAAAGUCAUGGUUAAGUGGGAAACGAUGUGGGAAGGCCCAGACAGCCAGGAUGUUGGCUUAGAAGCAGCCAUCAUUUAAAGAAAGCGUAAUAGCUCACUGGUCGAGUCGGCCUGCGCGGAAGAUGUAACGGGGCUAAACCAUGCACCGAAGCUGCGGCAGCGACACUGUGUGUUGUUGGGUAGGGGAGCGUUCUGUAAGCCUGUGAAGGUGUGUCGUGAGGCAUGCUGGAGGUAUCAGAAGUGCGAAUGCUGACAUAAGUAACGAUAAAGCGGGUGAAAAGCCCGCUCGCCGGAAGACCAAGGGUUCCUGUCCAACGUUAAUCGGGGCAGGGUGAGUCGACCCCUAAGGCGAGGCCGAAAGGCGUAGUCGAUGGGAAACGGGUUAAUAUUCCCGUACUUGGUGUUACUGCGAAGGGGGGACGGAGAAGGCUAUGUUGGCCGGGCGACGGUUGUCCCGGUUUAAGCGUGUAGGUGUGUGUUCCAGGUAAAUCCGGUUCACUUUAACACUGAGGCGUGACGACGAGGCACUACGGUGCUGAAGCAACAAAUGCCCUGCUUCCAGGAAAAGCCUCUAAGCAUCAGGUAACAUCAAAUCGUACCCCAAACCGACACAGGUGGUCAGGUAGAGAAUACCAAGGCGCUUGAGAGAACUCGGGUGAAGGAACUAGGCAAAAUGGUGCCGUAACUUCGGGAGAAGGCACGCUGACACGUAGGUGAAGUGAUUUACUCAUGGAGCUGAAGUCAGUCGAAGAUACCAGCUGGCUGCAACUGUUUAUUAAAAACACAGCACUGUGCAAACACGAAAGUGGACGUAUACGGUGUGACGCCUGCCCGGUGCCGGAAGGUUAAUUGAUGGGGUCAGCGCAAGCGAAGCUCCUGAUCGAAGCCCCGGUAAACGGCGGCCGUAACUAUAACGGUCCUAAGGUAGCGAAAUUCCUUGUCGGGUAAGUUCCGACCUGCACGAAUGGCGUAAUGAUGGCCAGGCUGUCUCCACCCGAGACUCAGUGAAAUUGAACUCGCUGUGAAGAUGCAGUGUACCCGCGGCAAGACGGAAAGACCCCGUGAACCUUUACUAUAGCUUGACACUGAACAUUGAGCCUUGAUGUGUAGGAUAGGUGGGAGGCUUUGAAGUGUGGACGCCAGUCUGCAUGGAGCCGACCUUGAAAUACCACCCUUUAAUGUUUGAUGUUCUAACGUGGACCCGUUACCCGGGUUGCGGACAGUGUCUGGUGGGUAGUUUGACUGGGGCGGUCUCCUCCUAAAGAGUAACGGAGGAGCACGAAGGUUGGCUAAUCCUGGUCGGACAUCAGGAGGUUAGUGCAAUGGCAUAAGCCAGCUUGACUGCGAGCGUGACGGCGCGAGCAGGUGCGAAAGCAGGUCAUAGUGAUCCGGUGGUUCUGAAUGGAAGGGCCAUCGCUCAACGGAUAAAAGGUACUCCGGGGAUAACAGGCUGAUACCGCCCAAGAGUUCAUAUCGACGGCGGUGUUUGGCACCUCGAUGUCGGCUCAUCACAUCCUGGGGCUGAAGUAGGUCCCAAGGGUAUGGCUGUUCGCCAUUUAAAGUGGUACGCGAGCUGGGUUUAGAACGUCGUGAGACAGUUCGGUCCCUAUCUGCCGUGGGCGCUGGAGAACUGAGGGGGGCUGCUCCUAGUACGAGAGGACCGGAGUGGACGCAUCACUGGUGUUCGGGUUGUCAUGCCAAUGGCACUGCCCGGUAGCUAAAUGCGGAAGAGAUAAGUGCUGAAAGCAUCUAAGCACGAAACUUGCCCCGA
This 2110-nucleotide ribosomal RNA is filed under the name Salmonella enterica subsp. enterica serovar Muenchen. RNAcentral's name for it is "partial 23S ribosomal RNA". It matches the Rfam family "Bacterial large subunit ribosomal RNA", at positions 711 to 2802 of the family's 2925-position model. Lineage: Bacteria; Pseudomonadati; Pseudomonadota; Gammaproteobacteria; Enterobacterales; Enterobacteriaceae. The record is from RNAcentral. RNAcentral also lists the same sequence under 10 other names.